AAGAAACCAACUGGGAUUGCCUUAGUAACGGCGAGUGAAGCGGCAAUAGCUCAAAUUUGAAAGCUGGCCCCUUUGGGGUCCGCGUUGUAAUUUGUAGAGGAUGAUUCGGCGAGGGCUCCCGUCUAAGUCCCCUGGAACGGGGCGUCAUAGAGGGUGAGAAUCCCGUAUGUGAUGGGUUGCCUUAGCCAUGUGAAUCUCCUUCGACGAGUCGAGUUGUUUGGGAAUGCAGCUCUAAAUGGGAGGUAAAUUUCUUCUAAAGCUAAAUACCGGCCAGAGACCGAUAGCGCACAAGUAGAGUGAUCGAAAGAUGAAAAGCACUUUGGAAAGAGAGUUAAAAAGUACGUGAAAUUGUUGAAAGGGAAGCGCUUGCAGCCAGACUUGUCCGCAGUUGCUCAGCCGGUCUCCUGACCGGCGUACUCUUCUGCGGCCAGGCCAGCAUCAGUUCGGGCGGUCGGAUAAAGACCCCAGGAAUGUAGCUCCUCUCGGGGAGUGUUAUAGCCUGGGGUGGAAUGCGGCCAGCCUGGACUGAGGAUCUCGCUUCGGCUAGGAUGCUGGCGUAAUGGCUGUAAGCGGCCCGUCUUGAAACACGGACCAAGGAGUCUAACAUCUAUGCGAGUGUUUGGGUGUCAAACCCAUACGCGUAAUGAAAGUGAACGGAGGUGGGAACCCUCACGGGUGCACCAUCGACCGAUCCUGAUGUCUUCGGAUGGAUUUGAGUAAGAGCAUAGCUGUUGGGACCCGAAAGAUGGUGAACUAUGCCUGAAUAGGGUGAAGCCAGAGGAAACUCUGGUGGA
Molecule: ribosomal RNA, 794 nt
Filed under: Dothiorella viticola
Lineage: Eukaryota; Fungi; Ascomycota; Dothideomycetes; Botryosphaeriales; Botryosphaeriaceae
Description: eukaryotic LSU rRNA
Rfam family: Eukaryotic large subunit ribosomal RNA
Source: RNAcentral